ACACCGGCGUAGGGGCUGUUAUCUCACAGCGAUCAUCUGCGGAUCAGAAGGUUCACCCAUGUGCUUUCUUCUCCCGGAAACUGUCUACCACAGAGAGAAAUUAUGACAUCGGGGAUCAGGAGUUGUUAGCAGUUAAGCUGGCGCUGGAGGAGUGGAGACACUGGCUGGAGGGAGCUGAGCAGCCAUUUAUGGUAUGGACGGACCACAAGAAUUUAGAAUAUAUUCGCUCUGCCAAGCGGUUGAACUCCCGCCAAGCAAGGACCAAGCUGCAGGAGGAGGAGGCUCCUGGAGCUCUGGAGCCAGAGGCUGACUGGGGAAGAGAGGUGCCUCCUCAUGGAAUAUAGCCAGAAGAAGAUGGAGCCGGACCCUGCAGACCCUUUUCCAGAAAUCUAGCUGAGCCCGGGGCUAGGGGACCUUACCGGCCCCUUGCUAGACACAACACGCCCAGAGCAACUGACUUUGCAUGAAGCAGGCAAAAAGACAUGGUAUUUUAACUGCGUGAAGGUCACAAACAGAACUGGACUGUGCAUCAGGCUCCCCAGGAUUUUAUACAAACCUCUCCUCAACAGAAUUGACUGCCGACCUCCAGUGAAGAAUUUUGCUUUUAUCUCUGUUCUUAAUCCCUCUGUUAUUAGCCAGUGCCCUUUCUGUGAGCUCAGGGACUAUUUAUCAUGUUUUUACUGAGUGUAAGCGACUCACAAAGUUCUUCUCUCUUUUAACAUUGUUUUUUUGUCUUUUUAGAUAAGUGUUUUUUACAGAAAGGGUUUUUAUCAUGGGAGCUGCCUAGAGAAAAGAAAAACGGAAAAAGAAAAAAUGGCAGCUCGUUAACUUUCUGUGCAGAGGCGCCAAAAUGGCAAUUUAUUUAGGCAGGAUAAACAGUUGAGAACAGAGAGGGGCAGGAGGCCAAGGUAAUAUGGCUGUCAAGUUACCGGAGUCUUCCUACUUUGUUGCACUUUUCCCCAACUUGAAAGACAAAUUGAAUGUGGAGAUUUACGUUACUGGAUUCCACUCAAAUUGCGGACCGAUUUAAUGACUGAGUCCCAGGCAGUACAUUACAUUACAUUACAGGUCAUUUAGCUGAUGCUUUUGUCCAAAGCGACUUACAUUACAUUUUUAACCCAUGGCUCUGAUCGGAGCACUUAGGGGUUAGGUGUCUUGCUCAGGGACACUUCGACAUGGGACAUGGGGCAGCCGGAACUCAAACCACCAACCUUGUGGUUCCCAGCACACCCUCUCUACCCCCUGCGCCACGACGACCCAGUAGCUACAUUUCACUUCUUUUAUUUUUAUUUUCAGGUUAGCAGCAUUUGGUCACUUCAUUUGUGAUUAUCUCAGGCAAUCAGCCAGGCAAUCAGGUAAAAAACAUUCAAAAACAAGACAGAAACAUAGAACACACAUAGGUCCCCAGCAACAGCACAGAAGCAAAAAUAGGUAAUUCAGUCCAUCUGGGGGGUAUUCCAGAAAGCGGGUUAUGUGAAAACCCAGCGUGAGUUAACCCUGAGAUCAGGGAAACUGAGUUAUCUGUUCCAGAUAGAGAAGUAACUGAAACGUUGAGGUCAAUCACAAUGUUAACAGACUCUGAACAUAACCUUCUCGCUGGCAGGUUAACUAUAUGAAACCCAGAGUUUCUACCCGUCUCCUCCCACAUGAAGAAAGCUGGUAGACAUGGAUUGCCUAUUCCUACCAAAUCCAAUUGACAUCGAAGCCUUAGUUAUUCGAAAUGCUUUACGUCGUGAGAGAGUCUUCCGACAAAAUACAAGUUUAGCAAGGCGGUGAGAGAUGCUAAACGACUGUACUCUGAGAAACUCCAACAACAGUUCUCAGCAAGUGACUCUGCUUCGGUUUGGAGAGGCCUCAAACACCUCACUAACUACAAGCCAAAACCCCCCCACUCCAUGAAUGACCUCCGCCUGGCAGACGAGCUGAACGAGUUCUACUGCAUAUUCGAAAGACAAUAUCCUGAUCCCAUCCCCCACAGCUCCACCAACCUGCGCCUGUCCCCUUCCCUUCCCUCCCCCAGCCCAUCAGGGGCUCACACCUCUACAUCUUUAUCACCUUCCCCUCCCCCACCAGCAACGACCCUCUCUAUUCUGGAGAGAGACGUUAACCGGCUCCACCAUCAUCCCUGUUCCCAAGAAGCCCAGGAUCACAGGACUCAAUGACUACAGGCCCGUCGUCCUGACCUCUAUAGUCAUGAAAGGCUACAUGCUGCAAGGAAAAACACAGCGGAAAAAUACAGGCGAAUUCUGUAAGUUUUAAGGAGCUGGGAGAUAGACCACCGCGUGAGUCAAGACAAGGCAAGACAAACACGACGGCGCAAGAGGAUAAUAAAUCUGUUAUUGGCUCCUAAAACCAUUCCCUGACAAUGGCCGGCUGACAGCAGAACAACUGACCUACAACAAAAAAGUGUGCAGGGCUCGGGUGGUGGUGGAAAAUGCUUUUAAGAGACUCAAAGGAAGGUGGCGGUGCCUUAUGAAGAGGAAUGACAGCGACAUCGAAUUGGUGAAGUCCAUGGUGUUGACUUGUUGUGCUCUGCACAAUCUUUGUGAAAGGCAUCGAGAGGAUUACCAGCACGAAUGAGAUACACCUGUUGCUGCGGAGCCUGUGGUUACACAGGCACAGGGCGCAGAGGAGGAGGGCAGGGAUGUACGCGAGGGUCUAAUGCGUUAUGUGAACAGUUAAAUCUGUUGUACACCUAUAAAUGUGAAGUUUUGAUUUUAUUGAAAAUGAAUAAAUCCUUUUUACUUUUACCCUGCCUCUUCAUAUUUUGUAAAAUAUUUUUGCCGCUGCAUCUUAUGUAGAUGUGUUUAAACAUGAGGUAUAAUUCAUUUUGGGUAGCUAUAUCAAAGGGACAAUCUGGUAACGCUGUACAUAAUACUGUGCAAGUACACAAUUUACAGCAUACCCUUUGGUAAUUUUAGUGUACUUAUAAAUUAUGUACGUGUAAUUAGGAGAACAAUUUAUAAUAUGUAAAAACUAAAUAAUUAAAUUCAGAUUUUUGUUUGCAAUAGGUUACUUUAAAAAUCAUAUGAUUAGGGUAAAACCUUGGAAGAUCAGCUAUUGUAAAUGUAAAGUAACAUUACAGACUUUUGUAUUUAAGGCAAGCAUAAUCUCCCAAAUGGCCACGUUAGCAAACAAUUGACAGAUGACAGGAACAUAAAUAAAAUGACCUCAAUUUAUAGAAUGGAUAAGGGAGGAAUUGUGGGAGAUGGCCAUUGAACACAGGACACAAGAGGUAAUAAAAAAGUACUUUAAUUUGAAGUCAAAGAAAUUGCAAACAAAAGUAAACGAGUGCAAACAAAGUAAACAAGUGUAAACCAGUCCAAAAAAGUAAACUAGUCUAAAGUGCUGUGUGCAAAAGAGCACUAGUGGCUGGAUCAUAGCACAGAGUUGGGGUGCACCAGUACCAGCUGAGUGAGCGUUCCGAGGAAGGCCUGAUUAAAGUUCGCAGACUGCUCCAUAUGUAGGCGAGUUAUAUCAGCCUCAUGCCGCCUUGCCUCACGGGCAUCCUCCAUCAUAAGUUAGAAGCGCCGGUCACAGCGGUCUCCAUCUUUUCCAGCCACUCCUGCAUCUCAGCCUGGGCCGCAACAACAACAAUAUAUAAUAAUAUAAUAAAUAUUUAUUAAAUUUCUUUUCACUCUGGUGUUAAUGUCUUACCAAUUGUAAUACGCCGAGGUUCACUCCCAGUUGAUGGAGAAGAUUCUGGUGGUGUUGAAGUCCUGGCAGGGGAACUUGCGCUUUCAAGGGUGGAAAUUGGGGUUCCAUUUCCUCCCGACAGCUAGGAUGCUCAACUGAAAAGUUACACAAGUCACGUUAAUUACACAAACGGCAACAAUGCGGUUGAGAUAAAUACAGAACAUACAACGUAGUAGGUCUAGCCAAACUAGUCAAGUGCAUAGCCAAACAAAGCAUUUUUACAUUGUACAAUGUACAUAAGUAUUUUUUCAAGUAUCUAUAAUUUUAUAGGAGAUUUUAUAGGACACACAUCUCUCUUUAAUAUAUAUUUAGUAGAAGUACAAGUAACGUUACUGGACAUGCACUCCGUGCACAACGUGCUAAUAAACUAGCGUUUUGCUAGCUUGCAAAUUAUUGGUUGAUAGCACACUGGCUGGCUGACAGACAAACAACAGACUUGCACAAAAGUUGUGCAUUGAAAGUACACUUUCUCGUGAUCUUACUAUAUUUCACAAUUAAAAACUUACCGGGAGGCUCCAUCGUCGACUCCAGCAACGAGGUGGCCCUAUCGAUGCCUCCUUCUCGUCCCAAACUCGCCGGUCUGUGUCCGUAGAUUAAGUCCAUCAUAUCUAGCCACUUCCAAUUUUUCUGUGAACACCACUCCGGCUGUUGUGGUCUUUCACCUUACGGUAGUCACUCCGCAGAUUCUUGCAUUUAAUGCAGCACUGCUCGGAUGUCCGCUGGUAACCCUCGACAGCCAUCCUCUCUGAAACAUGCUGAAAAACAUUUUCGUUUCUCACCAUGCCAUAGAGUUCCCUUUGCACCCUUUCUUCACCGAUGAUACCCAAGAAGGUCUGCACCUCCUGGGUUGACCACGGUAAAGUAAUGCUGCGCGGCGACAUUGCUGCGACGGUGUUGUAGUUUAAAAAUGGCGCCUCGUGUGUUGUCUUUUUUCCCCUCGCGGCAUGCACAAAUGACGACACUCUUUCAACCAAUCAACGUUCUGCAGUGAGUCUAGCUCCACCCUUUAGUACCAAACAACUGUGCCAGGUACCCUAACGGAAGGGUCCCAAGAAGUGGUACGGUAUGGAUUUUUGGUACUAUUCUCAACUUUUGGCAGUGGAGACACAAAUAAAAGGGUACCGACCCGUACCGUACCGUACCGCUCGGUGGAAACGCGCCAGAAGUCUUUUGAACGGCUAGUCCCGUCCCACCUGAAGUCCCUUACCGACCCCCUCCUGGACCCCCUGCAGUUUGCCUACAGAGCCAACACGCCUGUGGACGACGCUGUCAACAUGGCCCUCCGCUACAUCCUCCAGCAUCUGGACUCCCCAGGAACCUACGCCAGGAUCCUGUUUGUGGACUUAAGCUCUGCCUUCAACACCAUCAUCCCAUCUCUGCUGCAGGACAAACUCUCCCAGCUGCACGUGCCCGACUCCACCUGCAAGUGGAUCACAGACUUCCUGUCUGACAGGAAGCAGCACGUGAAGCUGGGGAAACAUGUCUCAGCCUCUCGGACCAUCAGCACCGGUUCCCCCCAAGGCUGCGUUCUUUCCCCCCUGCUCUUCUCCCUGUACACCAACAGCUGCGCCUCCAGUCACCAGUCCGUCAAGCUCCUGAAGUUUGCGGAUGACACCACCCUCAUUGGACUGAUCUCUGGUGGGGAUGAGUCCGCCUACAGGUGAGUCUGACCAUCUGGUGUUGUGGUGCAGCCAGAACAACCUGGAGCUCAACGCUCUAAAGACAGUGGAGAUAGUUGUGGAUUUCCGGAGGAACAGAGCCCCACCUUCCCCCAUUACCCUGUGUGACUCCCCCGUCACUAUUGUGGAUUCCUUCCGUUUCCUGGGCUCCAUCAUUACCCAGGACCUCAAGUGGGAGCUGAACAUCAGGUCUAUCACCAAGAGGGCUUAGCAGAUGUUGUUCUUCCUGAGGCAGCUGAAGAAAUUCAACCUGCCAAAGAUGAUGAUGGUUCACUUCUACACGGCCAUUAUUGAGUCCAUCCUCUGCUCCUCCAUCACCGUCUGGUACGCUGCAGCCACAGCCAAGGACAAGGGCAGGCUGCAGCGAGUCAUCCGCUCUGCAGAGAGGGUGAUUGGCUGCAAUCUGUCGUCCCUGCAGGACUUGUUCGCUUCCAGGUCUCUGAAGCGAGCUAAAAAGAUUGUAGCCGACCCCGCUCACCCCGGACAAAAACUGUUUGUGCCCCUUCCAUCUGGGAGGAGGCUGAGGUCCAUAAAGACU
Long non-coding RNA from Gasterosteus aculeatus aculeatus (three-spined stickleback), 5913 nucleotides. Lineage: Eukaryota; Metazoa; Chordata; Actinopteri; Perciformes; Gasterosteidae. The record is from Ensembl.